This 469-nucleotide ribosomal RNA is filed under the name uncultured bacterium. RNAcentral's name for it is "bacterial SSU rRNA". It matches the Rfam family "Bacterial small subunit ribosomal RNA", at positions 9 to 524 of the family's 1533-position model. The record is from RNAcentral.
GAGUUUGAUCAUGGCUCAGAAUGAACGCUGGCGGCAUGCCUAACACAUGCAAGUCGAACGAAGGCUUCGGCCUUAGUGGCGCACGGGUGCGUAACGCGUGGGAAUCUGCCCCUUGGUUCGGAAUAACAGUUGGAAACGACUGCUAAUACCGGAUGACGACGUAAGUCCAAAGAUUUAUCGCCGAGGGGUGAGCCCGCGUAGGAUUAGCUAGUUGGUGUGGUAAAGGCGCACCAAGGCGACGAUCCUUAGCUGGUCUGAGAGGAUGAUCAGCCACACUGGGACUGAGACACGGCCCAGACUCCUACGGGAGGCAGCAGUGGGGAAUAUUGGACAAUGGGCGAAAGCCUGAUCCAGCAAUGCCGCGUGAGUGAUGAAGGCCUUAGGGUUGUAAAGCUCUUUUACCCGGGAUGAUAAUGACAGUACCGGGAGAAUAAGCUCCGGCUAACUCCGUGCCAGCCGCCGCCGUAAG